GAUGAAGAACGUAGCGAAAUGCGAUAAGUAAUGUGAAUUGCAGAAUUCAGUGAAUCAUCGAAUCUUUGAACGCACAUUGUGCCCGCCAGUAUUCUGGCGGGCAUGCCUGUUCGAGCGUCAUUACAACCCUCAAGCCCCCCGGCUUGGUGUUGGGGACCGGCCACCGGUGCCCUGCUGCUUCCGCGGCAGGCGCGCCCGGCCGCCCCCGAAAUGAAUUGGCGGCCCCGUCGCGGCCUCCCUCUGCGUAGUAGCACACAUCUCGCAGCUGGAGCGCGGCGCGGCCACUGCCGUAAAACGCACCAACUUUUUUUUACAGUUGACCUCGAAUCAGGUAGGAAUACCCGCUGAACUUAAGCAUAUCAAUAAGCGGAGGA
Molecule: unclassified non-coding RNA, 374 nt
Filed under: soil metagenome
Description: partial contains 5.8S ribosomal RNA, internal transcribed spacer 2, and large subunit ribosomal RNA
Rfam family: 5.8S ribosomal RNA (bases 1-120)
Source: RNAcentral